This 253-nucleotide ribosomal RNA is filed under the name uncultured bacterium. RNAcentral's name for it is "partial 16S ribosomal RNA". It matches the Rfam family "Bacterial small subunit ribosomal RNA", at positions 524 to 776 of the family's 1533-position model. The record is from RNAcentral.
AACGUAGGAGACAAACGUUAUCCGGAGUUACUGGGCGUAAAGGGCGUGUAGGUGGUAUCGUAAGUCUGGCGUGAAAUUUCUCGGCUUAACCGAGGCAGGUCGUCGGAUACUGCGAGGCUAGAGGACGGUAGAGGCGUGUGGAAUUCCGGGUGUAGUGGUGAAAUGCGUAGAGAUCCGGAGGAACACCAGUGGCGAAGGCGGGCAUCUGGGCUAACACUGACGCUGAGGCGCGAAAGCUAGGGGAGCAAACAGG